UUCCACAGUCUGAAUCUCCUUUGAUCUCCCCAGCAGCAGGCUAGAGGGCAGCGCUAGCAUCUUUAACCCCCUCCCCCAGCUUGCAAAAGAAGACACUGAGGUCCGAAGGAAUUAAGUGAUUAGCCCAAGAUCAGAGCAGCUAUUAAAAGUGGUGAAGCAGGGCUGGAGGAGGAGCCCUCUAUUCCAAGGGUAAUGUUCUUUAUCCGAAAUUACCAUAACCAUUCACCCCCUCAAAACGUGUCUUUCUUGUAAGCAACAUUCAUCUCCAGAAAGGCAGCUUUUUGGUGUUUUCUAUGUUGGACGUUUGGCGUUUCUUGAGUUUCAAAUUUGUGGAGGCCCAUGAGAAAACUGGAGGCGGACAUAGGGACAGCUGGGCCAGGAUUCAGAGCCAGGACAAAUCCAGUCCCCUCUCUUCCAAUAAAUGCCAACUCCUCACUUAUGACCUCCCUGGCUGCACAACCCUGGCCAACUGCCUUAGGCCCCGAGGUGCCCAGAUUAAGACCUACUGGACAGGGAAGUUGAGAAGUGCGAACACUUGGUGAAAGAGGCUCCACAACUAAGAGAAGCUGCCAGCAACAGGACUGCUCCGCAGCCCCCAAACCAGGGGUGUUAGGGCCAGUCAGGCCACUCUCCUACUUGACCCAAAUAGGGCCUCUUUGUUAAAUUCUUGUGGAGCAAGGAAAGAGAGGUCUUAUUCUGGAAUGAGCCCCUCAGAGACGUCCAGGGCCUAGGAAGAGCAGGAUAGGAGAAACCAGGGUCCCUCUUCCCCUUCCCCUGUGGCAGAGAUGCCAUUUUAUACUGCAGAGCCCUCUGAGAGACAUUUCUGCAGUUAUUCCUAAAACAGAGGCACCAGAGAAUCACCUGCGGAGGAAGAAGGGAAGAAGAGGAGGGACAGGCUGCUGGGACCAGGCAGCAAAGGACAGGCACCUACUAUGGGCCAGACUACGAUGGGGUGCCUGCUGGGAUCUGCAGUCCCACAAGAGGUGCAUUUCCCAGCCGGGCACGAGCUCUUGAGGAUGCCUAAUUACCCAGCGCACAUCUGGAGCAGCUGCGCCCUCGGACACAUUAUUUCGCUCCAACCCCUAUUUUCAUUCCGGAGGUUGAGUCAUAAAAGACUCUAGAGGCAGAAUAAAGUCAGGUCUGUGUGUGUCAGCAUUCCUGUGUGUGAGUGUGUGUGUGAAUAUGUGCACGUCCGGGGCGACGUCUGUGCAUCUCACUGUGAUUGCCCAAUGGAUUCGCUAAAGUUAAGGGGAAAAAAUGGAGCAACAUCAGGCGAAUUCAACUGCGAACAUACUGUCAGCCUCAUUAUCCGCCCAUUUCAAGGGAAAGCAUUUGGGUCUUGGAAUUAGCCAGUUAAUUGCCUCACUUCUUUGUUCACUUUAGGGCAGGAGAAACUAUCUGCAUCCUAUUAAAGCAUUCUAUAUUUCAAAACUUUAAGAUCUCCUCAUUCUCAAUUUUCUUUAUUUCUAUCUUUAUAACACUUGAGCACUCAGAUCUGCCCGUAUCUCUCUCUCUCUCUCUCUCUCUCUCUCACACACACACACACACACACACCUGUUUCAUGCUUGAAAAGUAACUCUUAGUUUCUGCAUCUGUAAAAUCUGGUAUCUUAACUCUUAAAGUUAAUGUAAGGAUUAAUUAAUGUACUAUGAUUUACUAUGUGUCUAGCAUUUAGCACAAUACCUGGUGCACAGGCAGCAUUUAGUAAACAGUAACUACUAAUAACAAGGAGGAGAAAGAAGAGAAAAGAGGAGGGGGAAAACGGGAAUAGAGGGUGAGUGGCAAGGAGGAAAUCUGCUUUGUUCACAGAGAGCCGGCCUAGGACGGAGAGUGUGUGUCUCAGCUGUAUAUGUAUAAUGUAUUCUUUUGACUUAGAGCAAUGUCUAUAAAAGUGAGGCCCCUUGGACCCCUUGACCUGUAACUACCUCUUCAAUAAGGUACAGAGAAUUGGGGCAAUUAUCUGGCUCAUUUCAGGUUCAAACUCCCUUUAGCCUGAAGUAUCUGGAUCUCAUGGGAGAAAGGUCUGAGAAGUGGUGACUUGUAUUCCUUUGACUUUUCAAGGAGUUCUUUCCCUUUGCUGUGGUGAGCACGGUCCUGCCUUAGAAAAUGGGUAGACAAGAAAUAGGGGGCCAGGAAGCUGGAAUUAAACAGAACAUCUGAGAAAUGCUUGACAAAAACCAGGUCUUACCCACUUCCUGGGUACCCAGGAGGCGGCCCUGAAGUUCUCUAUGCACUCGCCCCAGAGGACCACCGCCCCACCGAAAGAAGUCACAGGCUUUUGCCUGCUGGGGACUUUCAUUCCACAUUCAGCAAUCAUUUCCUGAGCACCUACUGUGCCCAGCACUGGGCUGAGCUCUGGAGCUUCAGCAGGGCUGCACCCUACCAGUUGGCAGUGCUGAUGUGGCAGCCAGCAAGAGGUCUUGGCUCCUAGAAACAAGUCCAGGACACAAGAAAGGGGACAAGCCUGCUGGGCAAAAACUUCUGGCCAAUAGCAGCACUGCCUUUUCAGGGCCAAAGUCCUAAUGCAGGGGCGGAGCCAGAAGGUCGGGAGCACCCCCUUCCAAUUGUCUAUCAGAAAAAGGCCAACUCCACGGUGCAGGGCCCAGUGCAGGGAGGGGUGGGGCAGGCAAAGAGAUGGCUAGAGGCUCCUGACCCUCAGUCGGAAGUUUCUGAGAACACCAAUUAGCUUUCUUUAAUUAGUAAAGUAAGGAGCCAAUGAGCAUAUAUUUCUUCUGCUCUGAUUAAAAGCAUUUAGGUCAGGUUUUCACAGCCAGGAUUAUCCAGUUUAAGCUGUCCCAAGAAGAGAAUUGUUUAUUUUUUUCUUUGUAUUUUCAGGCAGGGGUCUGAAUACUAUUAGCCAGCCAUUGGUUUCUUGUCACAGCCUCAAACUGCUGGGCAGGUGGGUGGUGGUUGUACAGCGCAGAGAGUGGCAACUAGAAAUGAGUUGGAGUCUUUCCUGUGCCAAGUCACAUUUGUUUGAAAUAUAUAGACAAUUGAGGAGCAGCCAGGAGGGCUUGGGUUUGGAGUAUAAGUAUGUUUGGAGGGGGAGGGUACAAUUAGCCAGAUAAUUUCCAGUUAUCCUAAUUUGUCUUAACAUAGUCCUCGAAAAAUGAAGUUUAUUUACUUCCCAGACCCCAAAGAAGCCUGACUUUUCUCCUGGGAGAUUUAGCUUGGUCAAUUCACACAGGUGGGGAGAUGGCCAGGAAACUUAAUAGGCUGGGGAAGAACAGCUAAGUCCUUCUUUACACUCUGUGUCUAAACAGGCCACAACCCAUGAGGCUGGGCGUGAUUAGGAGGUCCCCCAGGAUAGUCAGGGGUCACAUGCUGUUUAUCUCUUACAAACAAGAUUACUAAAAUAUUAGGGAGCAAAUCCUUCCCCUUUAAGUCCAGCAUUUGGUAUUCCCCAGCCUCUAACCUUGGCUAAAUCAGCCCCAAGUAGAGCCGGGGUCCCUGAGGAAAAGUAAUAAGUGAGUCAAUAAGGGACACAAAGGAACAUUCUAUUGCCCAAUCCCCAUUUGCUUGACUUACAGACAGUUUUAGUUAGGAGGCUGUUUCCAGAUAGUCUUCCCUUUCAGGAGUUCUGGUAUGGUUUUAAGUUCCUGGGAAGCUGCUUAAGCCUGAUUUCCUUCCAUUGCACUUCCAACUGCUGGCCAGUGCAAGAUCAGCUUUCCCCAGCAAAGCUCUUCCCACGUUCUCAGGCUCCCAGCUGCUGAGAAGGAAAGACUGACUCCCGCUGGGAAGGAAAGACUGACUCCCACUGGGAGACCAGACCCUACAGGUAAUGGUGGGGAGAGGACACUGCCACCGGACUGUUUUUAAAGGUGAAGGUUGACCUGGCAAAAUGGAGAUGUCAGCCAAGAGAAAGGGUGAAGAGCUAUGUAAACUGACUAUAUUUGGCCUCGGCAUUUCCCAGACACCAGCUCCUUUGAUCUAUCCAAAUUGUAGUUCUUAACUUGGUGUCUGAGGAGACUGAAACUCUCUGAAAUUGUGGGAUUUGGUGAGUACUACAUAAGUGCAUUUUUUUUUCUCGGUAGAGGGAAAUCAAUAUUGUUCAUCAAAAUUUAAAUUAUCUUCUCAGGGAGCGGCCCCCCAAAAUGUUAAGAACCUCUCAUCCGCUAAUCUUAUACAACCAACCAAAAACGUAAUGCAAAGGGAGGCGUUGUAAUAGACUUGGGUAUCUGACAAGACAAAUUAAAAGGACAAACAAUUUCUUGUUCCACAAGGUUGAAUAGACACUGUCACCUGGACUUCCUGGAACACCAGGCACCAGGUCACAGGUGCUGGGGACUCUUGGACUGAGACCAGGCAGGCCACAACACCCAGUCACUACCUCCUCCGUAUUUGCCUUUUCAGACAAGGAGUAUGCAAGGUCUCUGUGUCUCUAAUCAAAGUGAUAUGGAGCUUUUAUCCACUGGGGCCUGGACCUUCCGCCAUUUGCCACCUUGUCCAAAGCCAUCUCAUACCGAAAGAGAAUUGAACGUUUCAGGAAACACCUCCCCUGUGCAAAUGCCCUUCUCUUGGGGAAUGGGUAUAGUGUCCAAAUCUCCAACUCCCAUCAUUUCCAACCAGCCCUGAGGAACUGUCUGAGACCCCGGAGCCCAGAGACCAUCAGCGGGGGCCAACAGCCAUGACCUUUGAGUUUUCUUGGCCGCUGGGCCACAAAAAGGGUGCAAGAGACAGCUGGACAGGUAGACAGAAGUAGGCACAAAGAAAGGGGCCCUGGACGGCUGUCAGAGAAAAGACGGAGAAUGACAAAGAGAGAAGUGAAGUAGCUGGACUGGAGGCGGGAACUGGAGCGCAGCAGGCAGGUGGAGUGGCCAAAACCUGCGUGCUAAGAAGAGUCCAGAGGGGCGGCAGAGGCGGCCAGGCGCGUCUCCGUUUCCCAUCUUUACGCUGGGGUUAAUGACCUCCUCAGCGCCCCCUCGUCCCAAACCACCCAAUUACAACUCCUCAGGCUCCUUAAUGCUCUGAUUAAUUGGCUGGUUCGGGGGGAUGGAGGUGCUCCUCUGCUGGGGACCUGGCGGGGUUUCGCUAGAUCAUUUGUUAAUUGUGGGAAGGAAGGUCGCAUUCGGGGAGAGGAAAUCCAGGGCUGGAAAAGUGGGUGAGCGGCGCUGGCACAGGCGGCCAGGAGGGAACAGAUGAACUGUUCGUUAGGAGCAGCGAGGUAGUCGGGAGCGCUGAGAUUCAGAGACCAGGACCCACUCCCUCUCUGAGCAGCAAAUCGGGAAGAAGAUGCUCAUUCGGUAAGGGCGAGGGAGCCCUGCAAGGCGCCCCACCCCGGGCUCGGUCUAUCCGCGCGCCAAGAUCCCGCUUGGGGCGAGGCGCUGGGUCAGCGUUUAGAGCCACUCCCUGCGCUGGUGGCUGGACAUAGCCUCCCUAUCACACCUCAUCUUCCCCCUUCCCCGACGGCGGAGGUUGUGAAUCUACAGGCCCUUGACGUUGAGGCGUCGGAGGGCGCACCUUUGUAAUUGUGGCCUCACUUCGCCCCUUAAGUACCGCUUCCGGGCGCCGAGGCUGGAUAUGAAAGCCCGGUUCCUAAUCCUCUGCUUUGGCCCCCUCCUCCGGACUGCCGGGACUCCAACCUAGGCCCUCCCCAGUUUCCAUCACUACGGCGCCAACCCGCGGCUGGGCUGUCUGCGAGAGGGAGCUGAAGGUGCACGGAAUCCCGAGGUGCCGCUGACCCUCCUCUCAACGCUGACUCUGCGGCUCCCGCCCGGCCAUCUCCCUAUGGGGCAGACUUCCUGUUCUCCCUCUCACAGCAGGGAGGCAGUAGCGGAGCCGGUCAGCAGCUUGCACGGAGUUCUUCACUCUGCGCCCAGCCCCGGGACACAGGUGCAGAUCGCCAGCGGAGCACUGCGGAGUGCUCGCCGUCGUGCACUAGCGAAUCCUAGACGGAGGACUUGGUCCAUUCCACGCAGUCCCAGGCAGGUCCGCAGCGGAGGGACUCAGCGGUCUCCAACCCCUGGUCACGACUUCCGCGACCCUCCACCCCCCGAAGAGACCUGGUCCCGUGGAGCUGUCCCCCUAGGAGCCGCAGCGGGAAUAGCAAGGCAAAGGGGACCACUCAGCCCCCAGGAGGAGCCCAGAAGCGAGAAGGUUGCUGCGGGGAGCCUCUGGUUCCCUCUGGUUCACCUUGGAGCCCAGGAGCUCCCUGGACCAAGGAGUGAACAGACCUGAGGAAGAGACAGUGAUGCGAGACUGGAAAGAGGACAUGGCAUGGAGUCAGAAGAUUUGGGUUCAAGUUCCCGCUCUGCCAAUUACCAGCUGUAUGAUGUUGGGCCAGCUGAGCCGCCAUCUCUUCGAGGAAGUUUUCCCUGAAGCCCUGAGAUGUUCUGCCAAUUGAAUGGAAACUGUCCAUAGUGGGGAGCAGAGAGCCUCAUCCUGUCUGGAACUGGACAUCCAUCCUUAAGGCCAGAGUUCUCCCACCACCAACUUUAACUCCUGCCCUAGCCCUCUCUCUUCCUUUUCAAAACCCUCUCCACCCAGGAAGGGAGAUUCUGGAGCCAAGACUGUACCAGCCACACCUCCCCAGAGUUGUUAAGCAAGGAACCCGAAGCCAGGGGUGGUCCUCUGGCAAUCACCCCCAUUACCAAUAGCAGGACAGAUGUGUUUCUGAUGGACUACACUAUCCCCGGAGGUCACAUGAUUCAGGCUGCCAAAGGUACCUGCCCUUGGGAAAUCAACUCCUGAAGGUAAAUUGGGAUUGGGUCCUGAGAAGAUCCAUGGAAGCCCGGAGGACCCUGCCUCUCUCUGUUGCUUCAUGCUGUAGAGGCGGUACUGGGGAGGGCUGCCCACAUCCGGUGGGGCAGCUGGGACCAUACGUUUGAUGACACUCUGCUCCCUCAAUGUGGAGCCUCAUCCUCAUCUCACAGUCCAGCAGGACUGUGGGCUUCUCUCACCCAGUGUGUGAGUGUUUUUGGAAGUGGCCUGAUUUUGGAGUUUCCCUCCAAGCCUUUCUCAGGCACAUGCUUUCUCUCCCAUUCUCUCUUCUUUUAUCAAUCUUCUUAAGUCUGAUUUUCUCCUUUUUCCCUCUGUUGUCUCCAUCUUUUUUCCAGUCUCUCACUUCUCUUUCUUUCUCCCCAUAUUUCACUCUGUUCUCUCACCCCUCCCUUUCCCUUUUGUUUCUCUCCCUCUCUCUCUUCCCACCCCCUGCCUGGCCUUCAAUAUAUCAAGCAAAGUUUUAUCACCUUAUGCAGGGGCAGCCCUGCCACUGCCAUAGAGUUGAUAGGCUAAUGACAUUUUGUGGAUAUUGCUAUGUCACAAGUGCAGGGACAGCAUCAAAAACAGCCCUGAUGUCUAAACCACUUCAGCUAUCUUUUUUUAUUUUUUAAAUAAAUAUGUUCACAUGAUUUUAAGAAACUAUAAAAAUGUAUAAAGUAAAAAAAUCUUUCUCUCACACUGUCUCCACCUCUCCUGGUCUCUCCGUUGUGCUUCGAAAGGGGAAACCAUUGUGAUUAGUUUAUUCUAUGUCCUUCCAGAGUGUCUUUAUGCAAAUGAAAAUUAUUGUGAUAAUAUAUUCCUAUUUUUCCCCUUACUACACAAAAGGUAGACUACCAUAAUUCCAUUCUGCACUUUCUUUUUUCACUUGAUAAUAAAAACAUGAUUU
This is a long non-coding RNA of Cercocebus atys (sooty mangabey), 7606 nucleotides long. RefSeq lists it as uncharacterized. NCBI's taxonomy places the organism in Eukaryota, Metazoa, Chordata, Mammalia, Primates, Cercopithecidae. The record is from RefSeq and is a predicted model, not a curated record. The transcript has 4 exons.